GUCUAUGGCCAUACCACCUUGAACACGCCUGAUCUCGUCUGAUCUCAGCAAACACAGUGUAGGGUCUAAGAACCCCAACAUGGGGCUUUAUAUU
RNAcentral lists this ribosomal RNA (94 nucleotides) under Erinaceus europaeus (western European hedgehog). Lineage: Eukaryota; Metazoa; Chordata; Mammalia; Eulipotyphla; Erinaceidae. The record is from RNAcentral.